UACGUAGGGGGCAAGCGUUGUCCGGAUUUAUUGGGCGGAAAGCGCUCGCAGGUGGUUCGUUGCGUCGUGCGUGAAAGACCCCGGCUCAACUGGGGAGGGUCGUGCGAUACGGGCGAACUGGAGGCCAGUAGGGGGAUGCGGAAUUCCGGGUGUAGUGGUGGAAUGCGUAGAGAUCCGGAGGAACACCAGCGGCGAAGGCGGCAUCCUGGACUGGUCCUGACACUCAUGAGCGAAAGCGUGGGGAGCGAUCCGG
RNAcentral lists this ribosomal RNA (253 nucleotides) under uncultured bacterium. RNAcentral describes it as "partial 16S ribosomal RNA". It matches the Rfam family "Bacterial small subunit ribosomal RNA", at positions 524 to 776 of the family's 1533-position model. The record is from RNAcentral.